This 414-nucleotide ribosomal RNA is filed under the name Triticum aestivum (bread wheat). RNAcentral describes it as "partial small subunit ribosomal RNA". Lineage: Eukaryota; Viridiplantae; Streptophyta; Magnoliopsida; Poales; Poaceae. The record is from RNAcentral.
AUGACUUAUUGUUGUCUUGCUAACAAAUGUGCGAUUUUGGACAUAUGGCUUGUGGUUGGUGACUUGGGCAUACAUUUCUAUAUUUUGGUGAGGAGGUGUUCUGUGACUACAAUAUCACUUAGUAAGAAGCAACAUCUCAUUGUCUUUUGUUGUUGCUUCUCUAGUACUUUGAUGCUUUGGUGUGUGAAUUGUAUUAACCUUUCUAGUAUGGCUAAACAUGUUACUAGUAUUUUUGUUGAAAAAUUUCAUGUUAUUUUGAGCACUGGUUUGGCAAAUGUUCUCUAUUUAAAUUCACAAUACCAAAUAUUUAGUUCAAAGUCAAUAUUUUUGAAAAAUUCCAACAAAUUUCCAGUAAAUACUACUCCCUCCAUUCCAAAAUAUAGUGCGCCCGCGCUUCCCGAGAUCGAACUUUGA